AGCCCAAUCCAAAACAGAACAAAAGAGUACUGAAGAAGCCGAAGCAAACAUAUGUGGCAAAUUAGGGUUCUACAGACAGAGAAUGGAGGACUCAAACAGAAACAGAGAUUCGAUGAUGCCCAUGUAAGAUCAGGUUCUUCUUUCCACUUAUAUUGUCAAUACUUUAGUGAACAACCUCAAUUUAUUCGUUUCGGGUAAUUCCAAGGAGAAGAGGGAGACGCAGUCGAAAACAAACAAAAGAAGAAUGUUCGCAGUGUAAGAUAAUCUAGAACUUUAUUAUUAUUGUUGUAUUGGCUUCUAAUCAAUAUUGCGUUGUUGAUUAAUUACAAGCCCAAGUAUCCGACACCGCCGCCGCCAUCUCGAAACAAAAAAAGAUUCAGGGUUAUGUAAGAUGAUCAAUUAUUUUGGACUAUCGAAAAUAUUAUUUUCUCAACAAAGAUGAGUUACAAACUUUGACUAUAUUUGCAGGGAGAGCAACGAACAAUUAUCCCAAUCAGCAAGCAGAAGUGAGUCCGAAGCUUCUGAGUACAGAGAGGAAAAAAAGAAAGCAAGGAAAAAACCGAAGUUGGAGAAGAGGAUGAAAAAAUUAAACAAGAAAAUUGGGAAACUGAC
RNAcentral lists this long non-coding RNA (612 nucleotides) under Daucus carota (carrot). RNAcentral describes it as "long non-coding RNA (DCAR_LNC007081)". The record is from RNAcentral. Lineage: Eukaryota; Viridiplantae; Streptophyta; Magnoliopsida; Apiales; Apiaceae.